CCCUUAGAUGUCCUGGGCCGCACGCGCGCUACACUGAUGCAUGCAACGAGUCGUUUCAAGCCUGGGCCGAGAGGCCCGGGUAAUCUGUUGAACGUGCAUCGUGAUAGGGAUAGAUCAUUGCAAUUAUUGAUCUUGAACGAGGAAUUCCUAGUAAACGCGAGUCAUCAGCUCGUAUUGAUUACGUCCCUGCCCUUUGUACACACCGCCCGUCGCUCCUACCGAUUGAAUGUGUUGGUGAGGAGCUCGGAUUGGCAGUAGUUGGUGGUUCGCCACCGGCUAUUGCUGAGAAGUCCUCCAAACCGCCCCAUUUAGAGGAAGGAGAAGUCGUAACA
RNAcentral lists this ribosomal RNA (332 nucleotides) under uncultured eukaryote. Its description in RNAcentral is "partial 18S ribosomal RNA". It matches the Rfam family "Eukaryotic small subunit ribosomal RNA", at positions 1470 to 1796 of the family's 1831-position model. The record is from RNAcentral.